UAUAAAAGGAAAAUAAAACAGGAUAG
RNAcentral lists this non-coding RNA (26 nucleotides) under Rattus norvegicus (Norway rat). Lineage: Eukaryota; Metazoa; Chordata; Mammalia; Rodentia; Muridae. The record is from RNAcentral.